This is a long non-coding RNA of Corticium candelabrum, 193 nucleotides long. RefSeq lists it as uncharacterized. The transcript has 3 exons. The record is from RefSeq and is a predicted model, not a curated record. Lineage: Eukaryota; Metazoa; Porifera; Homoscleromorpha; Homosclerophorida; Plakinidae.
ACUGUCGGACUGGUUCUGAUUAAUUAAUAGCUGCACUAGAUACGCGGAUGUUUUGCCACAUGCUGAUUGUCAUGUUGGAUUGAAAUCGCAAAUCAUUGUUUCCGGUCAAAUUUAACAAUGAAUGAGGCCAAAAUUGUGGCCUCAAUUGAGGUUAUAGAACUUUAUGAACUAGAGCAGCAACUGUUCAUCUUUC